Molecule: long non-coding RNA, 256 nt
Filed under: Elaeis guineensis (African oil palm)
Lineage: Eukaryota; Viridiplantae; Streptophyta; Magnoliopsida; Arecales; Arecaceae
Description: long non-coding RNA (EGUI_LNC047386)
Source: RNAcentral
ACUAGAUGGUAUGUCAUGGAUAAAUCAUCAAAUCUCAACAUCAAUCAUAUGAUAGAAUCGAUCAGCUCAAGUCCAAUUAUGAUUUUUAUGAAAACUCUUUUCCAUCAAUCACACUGCUGUGGCCGCAGACUCUCGGACUUAGCCUCUCAAAUUUUAUAAAACUACUUCUCUCUAUCAAGAUCGAUAGAUCUCAUCUUGAUAUGUACCCUACUCUUAUAGUGGACCAACUAUCGCCAACACCCACGAUAAAGGCUCA